RNAcentral lists this long non-coding RNA (439 nucleotides) under Olea europaea subsp. europaea. The record is from RNAcentral. Lineage: Eukaryota; Viridiplantae; Streptophyta; Magnoliopsida; Lamiales; Oleaceae.
AAUUGGUUUUCAAAAUGAUUUUGUAAAAAUAUUUACUAAUAACCAAAGUGCUAUACAUUUGAGUAGAAAUCCAGUAUAUCAUGAUAGAACAAAGCAUGUUGACAUAAAAUUCCACUUCGUGAGGAACAUGGUUGAAAAAGGUAUGAUUUCUUUAGUCAAAAUCCCUACUGAAUAUAAUCCCUCUGAUGUAGGUACUAAGAUACUUCCUUUAAACAAGUUCAACAAUUGCUUAAUGAUUCUGAAUAUCACAUAAGAUUGACAGUUAGUGAUAAACUAGAAUCUUAAGCCAUGUAUAGAAUUCAAACUAAUUCCAAUUUUUGUUUUUACAGGUUAUGAGAGCAAAUGAAGCUAGUGCGAUCUCUAGAUCCAUUAAUUAAACAAGAAAUAGCUCACCAAGGUGGAGUUUGUUAUUAUUUGGGCUGCCUCGCUAUUUCUAAAG